Molecule: ribosomal RNA, 770 nt
Filed under: Campylobacter jejuni
Lineage: Bacteria; Pseudomonadati; Campylobacterota; Epsilonproteobacteria; Campylobacterales; Campylobacteraceae
Description: bacterial SSU rRNA
Rfam family: Bacterial small subunit ribosomal RNA
Source: RNAcentral
ACACUGGAACUGAGACACGGUCCAGACUCCUACGGGAGGCAGCAGUAGGGAAUAUUGCGCAAUGGGGGAAACCCUGACGCAGCAACGCCGCGUGGAGGAUGACACUUUUCGGAGCGUAAACUCCUUUUCUUAGGGAAGAAUUCUGACGGUACCUAAGGAAUAAGCACCGGCUAACUCCGUGCCAGCAGCCGCGUUAAUACGGAGGGUGCAAGCGUUACUCGGAAUCACUGGGCGUAAAGGGCGCGUAGGCGGAUUAUCAAGUCUCUUGUGAAAUCUAAUGGCUUAACCAUUAAACUGCUUGGGAAACUGAUAGUCUAGAGUGAGGGAGAGGCAGAUGGAAUUGGUGGUGUAGGGGUAAAAUCCGUAGAUAUCACCAAGAAUACCCAUUGCGAAGGCGAUCUGCUGGAACUCAACUGACGCUAAGGCGCGAAAGCGUGGGGAGCAAACAGGAUUAGAUACCCUGGUAGUCCACGCCCUAAACGAUGUACACUAGUUGUUGGGGUGCUAGUCAUCUCAGUAAUGCAGCUAACGCAUUAAGUGUACCGCCUGGGGAGUACGGUCGCAAGAUUAAAACUCAAAGGAAUAGACGGGGACCCGCACAAGCGGUGGAGCAUGUGGUUUAAUUCGAAGAUACGCGAAGAACCUUACCUGGGCUUGAUAUCCUAAGAACCUUAUAGAGAUAUGAGGGUGCUAGCUUGCUAGAACUUAGAGACAGGUGCUGCACGGCUGUCGUCAGCUCGUGUCGUGAGAUGUUGGGUUAAGUCCCGCAA